GAUGAACGCUGGCGGCGUGCCUAAUACAUGCAAGUCGAGCGAACAGACGAGGAGCUUGCUCCUCUGACGUUAGCGGCGGACGGGUGAGUAACACGUGGAUAACCUACCUAUAAGACUGGGAUAACUUCGGGAAACCGGAGCUAAUACCGGAUAAUAUAUUGAACCGCAUGGUUCAAUAGUGAAAGACGGUCUUGCUGUCACUUAUAGAUGGAUCCGCGCUGCAUUAGCUAGUUGGUAAGGUAACAGCUUACCAAGGCAACGAUGCGUAGCCGACCUGAGAGGGUGAUCGGCCACACUGGAACUGAGACACGGUCCAGACUCCUACGGGAGGCAGCAGUAGGGAAUCUUCCGCAAUGGGCGAAAGCCUGACGGAGCAACGCCGCGUGAGUGAUGAAGGUCUUCGGAUCGUAAAACUCUGUUAUUAGGGAAGAACAAAUGUGUAAGUAACUAUGCACAUCUUGACGGUACCUAAUCAGAAAGCCACGGCUAACUACGUG
Molecule: ribosomal RNA, 497 nt
Filed under: uncultured bacterium
Lineage: Bacteria
Description: partial 16S ribosomal RNA
Rfam family: Bacterial small subunit ribosomal RNA
Source: RNAcentral